RNAcentral lists this ribosomal RNA (479 nucleotides) under Blastocystis sp. Its description in RNAcentral is "SSU rRNA". It matches the Rfam family "Eukaryotic small subunit ribosomal RNA", at positions 460 to 953 of the family's 1831-position model. Lineage: Eukaryota; Bigyra; Opalinata; Blastocystidae. The record is from RNAcentral.
GGAGGUAGUGACAAUAAAUCACAAUGCGGGACUUCUAGUCUUGCAAUUGGAUUGAGAACAACGUACAACUCUUAUCGAUAAGCCAUUGGAGGGCAAGUCUGGUGCCAGCAGCCGCGGUAAUUCCAGCUCCAAUAGCGUAUAUUAACGUUGUUGCAGUUAAAAAGCUCGUAGUUGAAGUGAGGGAGUGUGUGGGUAUGAGAGCUAGUCUCAAGUACUUACAACCUCCCCCCUCCAAUCGGUGUAGUGGGGUAUUCAGUUAUUCUACUACUCCUUUGGUCGUUUACUGUGAGAAAAUUAGAGUGUUCAAAGCGGGCGUUUGUUUGAAUAGAUUAGCAUGGAAUAAUGAUUGAAGGCUUUCGUGUUCGAUUUGAUUGGUUUGUUCAUGGAAGCAAGGUUAAAAGGAACAGUUGGGGGUAUUCAUAUUCACUAGUUAGAGGUGAAAUUCUCGGAUUUAUGGAAGAUGAACAAGUGCGAAAGCA